GAUGAACGCUGGCGGCGUGCCUAAUACAUGCAAGUCGAGCGAACGGACGAGAAGCUUGCUUUUCUGAUGUUAGCGGCGGACGGGUGAGUAACACGUGGAUAACCUACCUAUAAGACUGGGAUAACUUCGGGAAACCGGAGCUAAUACCGGAUAAUAUUUUGAACCGCAUGGUUCAAAAGUGAAAGACGGUCUUGCUGUCACUUAUAGAUGGAUCCGCGCUGCAUUAGCUAGUUGGUAAGGUAACGGCUUACCAAGGCAACGAUGCAUAGCCGACCUGAGAGGGUGAUCGGCCACACUGGAACUGAGACACGGUCCAGACUCCUACGGGAGGCAGCAGUAGGGAAUCUUCCGCAAUGGGCGAAAGCCUGACGGAGCAAUGCCGCGUGAGUGAUGAAGGUCUUCGGAUCGUAAAACUCUGUUAUUAGGGAAGAACAUAUGUGUAAGUAACUGUGCACAUCUUGACGGUACCUAAUCAGAAAGCCACGGCUAACUACGUG
RNAcentral lists this ribosomal RNA (497 nucleotides) under uncultured bacterium. RNAcentral's name for it is "partial 16S ribosomal RNA". It matches the Rfam family "Bacterial small subunit ribosomal RNA", at positions 28 to 507 of the family's 1533-position model. The record is from RNAcentral.